This 161-nucleotide ribosomal RNA is filed under the name Heptacarpus futilirostris. RNAcentral describes it as "partial 16S ribosomal RNA". Lineage: Eukaryota; Metazoa; Arthropoda; Malacostraca; Decapoda; Hippolytidae. The record is from RNAcentral.
AUUUUAUAAUUUAUUAUUAUUUCAUAAAUUUUUAGUUUAACUUGGGUUAAUUAUAAUAUUAUUGGGUUGGGGCGACUAUUAUAUAAUUUUAAUAACUGUAUUCUAAAUUAAUAAUUCUGUUUAGUUAAUUGAUCCUUUUUUAAAGAUUAAAAGAUUAAGUU